GCGUACUCCACACUCCCCCCUCCCCGCCACCCGAUCUCAUCAGUUCUCAGAAAGCUAAGCAGGCUUGAGCCUCGUUAACACUUGGAUGCGCGACUCCCAGGGCUUGCCAGGCGUUGUAGGCA
Molecule: ribosomal RNA, 122 nt
Filed under: Petromyzon marinus (sea lamprey)
Lineage: Eukaryota; Metazoa; Chordata; Hyperoartia; Petromyzontiformes; Petromyzontidae
Source: RNAcentral